Molecule: transfer RNA, 64 nt
Filed under: Hypsiglena torquata (night snake)
Lineage: Eukaryota; Metazoa; Chordata; Lepidosauria; Squamata; Dipsadidae
Description: tRNA-Tyr
Source: RNAcentral
GGUAGUAUGGCUGAUUAAGCGGUAAUCUGUAAAAUUAUAUAUAGGGCAAUGGCCCUUACUGCCA